Molecule: ribosomal RNA, 491 nt
Filed under: uncultured bacterium
Lineage: Bacteria
Description: partial 16S ribosomal RNA
Rfam family: Bacterial small subunit ribosomal RNA
Source: RNAcentral
GAUGAACGCUGGCUACAGGCUUAACACAUGCAAGUCGAGGGGAAACGCCGGGGAAGCUUGCUUCCCCGGGCGUCGACCGGCGCACGGGUGAGUAACGCGUAUCCAACCUGCCUCUGACUGAGGGAUAACCCGUCGAAAGUCGGCCUAAUACCUCAUGGCAUCGUCUGCGGGCAUCCAACGACGAUUAAAGAUUUCAUCGGUCAGGGAUGGGGAUGCGUCUGAUUAGCUUGUUGGUGGGGUAACGGCCCACCAAGGCUACGAUCAGUAGGGGUUCUGAGAGGAAGGUCCCCCACAUUGGAACUGAGACACGGUCCAAACUCCUACGGGAGGCAGCAGUGAGGAAUAUUGGUCAAUGGGCGGGAGCCUGAACCAGCCAAGUAGCGUGCAGGAUGACGGCCCUAUGGGUUGUAAACUGCUUUUAUGCGGGGAUAAAGUGAGGGACGUGUCCUUCAUUGCAGGUACCGCAUGAAUAAGGACCGGCUAAUUCCGUG